UCCAGGUGCGGUGGCGCACACCUGUAAUCCCAGCACCUCGGGAGGCUCAGACAGGAGGAUUGUGAGUUCAAAGCCAGCCUCAGCAACAGUGAGGCACUAAGCAACUCAGUGAGAUCCUGUCUCUA
RNAcentral lists this small RNA (125 nucleotides) under Marmota monax (woodchuck). The record is from RNAcentral. Lineage: Eukaryota; Metazoa; Chordata; Mammalia; Rodentia; Sciuridae.